This 253-nucleotide ribosomal RNA is filed under the name uncultured bacterium. RNAcentral's name for it is "partial 16S ribosomal RNA". It matches the Rfam family "Bacterial small subunit ribosomal RNA", at positions 524 to 776 of the family's 1533-position model. The record is from RNAcentral.
UACGAAGGGGGCUAGCGUUGCUCGGAAUCACUGGGCGUAAAGCGCACGUAGGCGGACUCUUAAGUCGGUGGUGAAAUCCUGGAGCUCAACUCCAGAACUGCCUUCGAUACUGGGAGUCUCGAGUCCGGGAGAGGUGAGUGGAACUGCGAGUGUAGAGGUGAAAUUCGUAGAUAUUCGCAAGAACCCCAGUGGCGAAGGCGGCUCACUGGCCCGGUACUGACGCUGAGGUGCGAAAGCGUGGGGAGCAAACAGG